Molecule: ribosomal RNA, 440 nt
Filed under: uncultured bacterium
Lineage: Bacteria
Description: partial 16S ribosomal RNA
Rfam family: Bacterial small subunit ribosomal RNA
Source: RNAcentral
CCUACGGGUGGCAGCAGUAGGGAAUAUUGGUCAAUGGGGGAAACCCUGAAGCAGCCACGCCGCGUGGAGGAUGAAGGUUUUCGGAUUGUAAACUCCUUUUGUUAGAGAAGAUAAUGACGGUAUCUAACGAAUAAGCACCGGCUAACUCCGUGCCAGCAGCGGCGGUAAUACGGAGGGUGCAAGCGUUACUCGGAAUCACUGGGCGUAAAGAGCGCGUAGGCGGGAUAGCAAGUCAGAUGUGAAAUCCUAUGGCUUAACCAUAGAACUGCAUUUGAAACUGUUAUUCUAGAGUAUGGGAGAGGUAGGUGGAAUUCUUGGUGUAGGGGUAAAAUGCGUAGAGAUCAAGAGGAAUACUCAUUGCGAAGGCGACCUGCUAGAACAUAACUGACGCUGAUGCGCGAAAGCGUGGGGAGCAAACAGGAUUAGAUACCCCGGUAGUC